CGUGCUUAUAAAAUCAAUGCCUUCCGUUGGUUGACUUACUGCUCAUCGACGAGAUCCUGCUUCCAACACCCCUUUCCCCUUCCUUUCAUAGGAUUUCGGAUCUCUAGCGCAACCAUACUACUUGCAGAAGCUGUUGUGGUUUCGUUGGUUGGUGGCUUGGUGCUUUUUUGAUCGAUUUUGCAGCCGAUCGAUCGAAUACAAAAUUACCAGUGUAUAAACUUGUUAGGCAACCAUGUCCGCACGCGAGCCGGCGAUCGGACCUCCUGUUCACCCAGCGGCGCCCGCAGCCGAGCCGGCGAUCGGCCCUCCUGUUCGCCCUGCGGGGCCCGCAAUCGAGCCGGUGAUCGGGCCUCCUGUUCGCCCAGCGGGGCCCGUAGGCGAGCCGGCGAUCGGGCCUCCUGUUCGCCCUGCGGGGCCCGCAAUCGAGCCGGUGAUCGGGCCUCCUGUUCGCCCUGCGGGGCCCGUAGGCGAGCCGGCGAUCGGGCCUCCUGUUCGCCCUGCGGGGCCCGCAAUCGAGCCGGCGAUCAGGCCUCCUGUUCGCCCUGCGGGGCCCGUAGCCGAUCCGACGAUCAGGCCUCCUGUUCGCCCUGCGGGGCCCGUAGCCGAGCCGACGAUCAGGCCUCCUGUUCGCCCUGCGGGGCCCGUAGCCGAGCCGGUGAUCGGGCCUCCUGUUCGCCCAGCGGGGCCCGCAAUCGAGCCGGCGAUCAGGCCUCCUGUUCGCCCAGCAGGGCCCGCAAUCGAGCCGGCGAUCGGCCCUCCUGUUCGCCCAGCGGGGCCCGCACGCUAGCUGCCUUCGCAGCAACGGCACUAGGCGCCCCAUCUCAAGAGGCCCAUGGGAUCCUGUGGGAAUCAAUGCUGCAAUUUCAAGUCAAUCUAGUGCUGUUUAUCUGCAUGUUUUCUCUUUCAAUUUGUGGUCUGUGGAGGGGAGUUCCAUAAUUUGUUGAAAAUUUGUACUUCAAUAAUAUGUGCUGCUCAUACAUAAUUUUGUGCGGGUAAUACAUACAUUUGAUUACGAGGAUGUUGUAUUUACAAAAAUAUCAUGUUGUUGUUGUUGUU
Triticum dicoccoides is the source of this 1056-nucleotide long non-coding RNA. RefSeq lists it as uncharacterized. Lineage: Eukaryota; Viridiplantae; Streptophyta; Magnoliopsida; Poales; Poaceae. The transcript is spliced from 3 exons. The record is from RefSeq and is a predicted model, not a curated record.